Molecule: ribosomal RNA, 253 nt
Filed under: uncultured bacterium
Lineage: Bacteria
Description: partial 16S ribosomal RNA
Rfam family: Bacterial small subunit ribosomal RNA
Source: RNAcentral
UACGGAGGAUGUAAGCGUUAUCCGGAAUGAUUGGGCGUAAAGCGUCCGCAGGUGGCUAUGUAAGUCUGCUGUUAAAGAGUGAGGCUCAACCUCAUAAGAGCAGUGGAAACUACAUGGCUAGAGUGCGUUCGGGGCAGAGGGAAUUCCUGGUGUAGCGGUGAAAUGCGUAGAGAUCAGGAAGAACACCGGUGGCGAAAGCGCUCUGCUAGGCCGCAACUGACACUGAGGGACGAAAGCUAGGGGAGCGAAUGGG